This is a long non-coding RNA of Felis catus (domestic cat), 784 nucleotides long. RefSeq lists it as uncharacterized. Lineage: Eukaryota; Metazoa; Chordata; Mammalia; Carnivora; Felidae. The record is from RefSeq and is a predicted model, not a curated record. The transcript is spliced from 4 exons.
AGGUGCGUCAGGGUCAGAUGCCCGAGGCUUCCUGUAGCCUCGUUAAACAACCAGACUGACCCCUAGAAUUCUCCGCGCACGGCCACACAACGUCAUUCGAGCCUCUCUCUGACCCUCGAAUUGUUAUCCUUACUUCCCAAGUGAGGCAGCUGAAGCCCAGAACACAACACAUCUUGCCCAAAUCACUGCGGGUGAAGGAAAGAACCUCCUCUGACUCCUGGCACGUUGAGGAAAUGGAGAAUUAUCCAUUAUCCAGAACUAGUCGUUCAAUCAACGGGGAGAUAAAUACCAAAGAGCCUGAUCCCGAUCAUCAGGAAAUGAGGGCACUGCGAGAUCAAGAACAUAAAAGCCAUCCACCGUCAUUGUGCACCUUGGCAAGACAGGACUCUGCCCCCCCGAGGGCUCCCUUCACGCCGGGAGCCCGGGCAUCCUGACACCGCAGGGCUCAGUGCCGAUCCGACCCACCGGGAGAUGAGAACUUCUAGCAAGCGCGUGGCAAGUCGGAGAUCUGCCUCGGAAGCGUCCAGGUUUGGAGAAGACUCGGGAAUGGAAGACUCGGGGUUCUGUUCCCAGCUGGGGGGUUUUAGGAAACUAACAGCCAUUCUAGGUCUCAGUGUCCUCACAUGAAAUGAAAAUGAAUACGAUAAUUCCUAACUUUGAAAGGUUAUUAUGGAGAGUCCGUGUCACGCAUGAAAUAAAUGGGCAUUGUAAACUGUAGAGCACUCUAACAAUGCAUUUUUUUUUAAUUUUUUUUUCAACAUUUAUUUAUUUUUGGGACAGAGAG